UACGAAGGGGGCUAGCGUUGCUCGGAAUUACUGGGCGUAAAGCGCACGUAGGCGGCUUUCUAAGUCGGGGGUGAAAUCCUGGAGCUCAACUCCAGAACUGCCUUCGAUACUGAAGAUCUUGAGUGCGGGAGAGGUGAGUGGAACUGCGAGUGUAGAGGUGAAAUUCGUAGAUAUUCGCAAGAACACCAGUGGCGAAGGCGGCUCACUGGCCCGAUACUGACGCUGAGGCACGAAAGCGUGGGGAGCAAACAGG
Molecule: ribosomal RNA, 253 nt
Filed under: uncultured bacterium
Lineage: Bacteria
Description: partial 16S ribosomal RNA
Rfam family: Bacterial small subunit ribosomal RNA
Source: RNAcentral